RNAcentral lists this ribosomal RNA (200 nucleotides) under Campylobacter jejuni. RNAcentral's name for it is "partial 16S ribosomal RNA". It matches the Rfam family "Bacterial small subunit ribosomal RNA", at positions 1333 to 1533 of the family's 1533-position model. The record is from RNAcentral. Lineage: Bacteria; Pseudomonadati; Campylobacterota; Epsilonproteobacteria; Campylobacterales; Campylobacteraceae.
CGCUAGUAAUCGUAGAUCAGCCAUGCUACGGUGAAUACGUUCCCGGGUCUUGUACUCACCGCCCGUCACACCAUGGGAGUUGAUUUCACUCGAAGCCGGAAUACUAAACUAGUUACCGUCCACAGUGGAAUCAGCGACUGGGGUGAAGUCGUAACAAGGUAACCGUAGGAGAACCUGCGGUUGGAUCACCUCCUUUCUAG